RNAcentral lists this ribosomal RNA (386 nucleotides) under uncultured bacterium. RNAcentral describes it as "bacterial SSU rRNA". It matches the Rfam family "Bacterial small subunit ribosomal RNA", at positions 30 to 414 of the family's 1533-position model. The record is from RNAcentral.
AUUGAACGCUGGCGGCAUGCCUUACACAUGCAAGUCGAACGGCAGCACGGGAGCUUGCUCCUGGUGGCGAGUGGCGAACGGGUGAGUAAUACAUCGGAACGUACCCUGAAGUGGGGGAUAACGUAGCGAAAGUUACGCUAAUACCGCAUAUUCUGUGAGCAGGAAAGAGGGGGAUCGCAAGACCUCUUGCUUUAGGAGCGGCCGAUGUCGGAUUAGCUAGUUGGUGAGGUAAAGGCUCACCAAGGCGACGAUCCGUAGCGGGUCUGAGAGGAUGAUCCGCCACACUGGGACUGAGACACGGCCCAGACUCCUACGGGAGGCAGCAGUGGGGAAUUUUGGACAAUGGGCGCAAGCCUGAUCCAGCCAUGCCGCGUGAGUGAAGAAGG